This 806-nucleotide long non-coding RNA is filed under the name Sinocyclocheilus grahami. RNAcentral's name for it is "lncRNA (ENSSGRG00000053534.1)". Lineage: Eukaryota; Metazoa; Chordata; Actinopteri; Cypriniformes; Cyprinidae. The record is from RNAcentral.
CUGUGAUCUCAGGUGUGGAGCCUCCCACUGCUGCUGGUGGUCGGCUGGGCACACGUGCGGGGGGUUCGCCAUUCUACCGUGAGCUGUGGUUCAUUGUGCUGAUGGCUGGAGUCUCGCUAUUGCUGCUGGCUCUCAUUCUGGCUAUAGUUUUACAGAAGGCUCUCAAUAAACCGCCGUUCACCCUCGUAUCAGUGCCACUCCAGUGCCGCAGCCCGCUGGCCGUCUACCCACCCAGCAACUCCUACCUGUUUGACACGGUUCCAGAAACGGUGGGAUCUCUGAACAGCGUCACACUGAAGGCCUUCACCAUGCACAUGGAGGAGGUGAUUGAGAGUAAAGUGGAGGAGGAUCGUUCUGCUGAAGAUGAGGAUGGUUUGGUGACAGUCUCAGGUCUGUACACACAAAACCUUUUACAGCGCAGCGUCAGCCAGCUCAUCGACAAGAAAGACGAGGAAUCAUGGGAGCCGCACUUCAGACGCCUCGACAGCGGCCUGUUUGAAGGUGAGGAGUUUGUGGACACCAUCAAAGGCUUCAGCACAGCCAGGAAGGAACACACCAUGUUCACCGACACCAACCUUUGACCCUCAUCUCACAUCAUCAGCACUUUCUCCAAACAUCAUCUCAGAACUGAGCGGUUUUGGUGAAUUCAGAACUGCUCUGGGACUCGUACCUGUGAUACUGGCAGGAGGAAACCGGAUUAUACAGCAGACAAAAAAAAGAAAGAAAAAACUGCAAAUUCUUUGCUGAAACAUUGCUUUAGAUUUUUUAUUUUAUGAUGCAUGUAAUGUUUAAGCAUUAAGCACAAG